Molecule: ribosomal RNA, 274 nt
Filed under: uncultured bacterium
Lineage: Bacteria
Description: partial 16S ribosomal RNA
Rfam family: Bacterial small subunit ribosomal RNA
Source: RNAcentral
AUACGGAGGGGACAAGCGUUAUUCGGAAUCACUGGGCGUAAAGGACGCGUAGGCGGGUUAUUAAGUCGGGUGUGAAAUCCAAUGGCUCAACCAUUGAACUGCAUUCGAAACUGAUAACCUAGAGUAUGGAAGGGGCAGGUGGAAUUAGUGGUGUAGGGGUAAAAUCCGUAGAUAUCACUAGGAAUACCGAAAGCGAAGGCGACCUGCUGGGACAUUACUGACGCUGAGGCGUGAAAGCGUGGGGAGCAAACAGGAUUAGAUACCCCGGUAGUCC